RNAcentral lists this ribosomal RNA (247 nucleotides) under uncultured bacterium. RNAcentral describes it as "partial 16S ribosomal RNA". It matches the Rfam family "Bacterial small subunit ribosomal RNA", at positions 15 to 244 of the family's 1533-position model. The record is from RNAcentral.
GAUCCUGGCUCAGGACGAACGCUGGCGGCGUGCCUAAUACAUGCAAGUUGAACGCUUGAUUGUCACCGAAGCUUGCUUCACCGACAAACAAGAGUAGCGAACGGGUGAGUAACGCGUGGGUAACCUACCUUAUAGCGGGGGAUAACUAUUGGAAACGAUAGCUAAUACCGCAUAACAAUGGAGAUUGCAUAAUUUCUAUUUAAAAGUAUCUGUUGGUACACUAUGAGAUGGACCCGCGUUGUAUUAG